CUACGUGCCAGCAGCCGCGGUAAUACGGAGGAUGCGAGCGUUAUCCGGAUUUAUUGGGUUUAAAGGGUGCGUAGGCGGCCUGUUAAGUCAGCGGUGAAAUCUAGGAGCUUAACUCCUAAAUUGCCAUCGAUACUGGCGGGCUUGAGUGUAGAUGAGGUAGGCGGAAUGCGUGGUGUAGCGGUGGAAUGCAUAGAUAUCACGCAGAACUCCGAUUGCGAAGGCAGCUUACUAAGGUACAACUGACGCUGAAGCACGAAAGCGUGGGUAUCAAACAGGAUUAGAUACCCUGGUAGUCCACGCAGUAAACGAUGAUAACUGGGCGUAUGCGAUAUACAGUAUGCUCCUAAGCGAAAGCGUUAAGUUAUCCACCUGGGGAGUACGCCGGCAACGGUGAAACUCAAAGGAAUUGACGGGGGCCCGCACAGGCGGAGGAACAUGUGGUUUAAUUCGAUGAUACGCGAGGAACCUUACCCGGGAUUGAA
RNAcentral lists this ribosomal RNA (482 nucleotides) under uncultured bacterium. RNAcentral's name for it is "bacterial SSU rRNA". It matches the Rfam family "Bacterial small subunit ribosomal RNA", at positions 501 to 985 of the family's 1533-position model. The record is from RNAcentral.